RNAcentral lists this ribosomal RNA (483 nucleotides) under uncultured bacterium. Its description in RNAcentral is "partial 16S ribosomal RNA". It matches the Rfam family "Bacterial small subunit ribosomal RNA", at positions 28 to 523 of the family's 1533-position model. The record is from RNAcentral.
GACGAACGCUGGCGGCGUGCUUUACACAUGCAAGUCGAACGGUGAAGGUGGAGCUUGCUCCGCCGGAUCAGUGGCGAACGGGUGAGUAACACGUGGGCAACCUGCCCCUAACUUUGGGAUAACUACUCGAAAGAGUAGCUAAUACCGGAUAUGAAGUCUGUAGGCAUCUACGGAUUUGGAAAGUUUUUCGGUUAGGGAUGGGCCCGCGGCCUAUCAGCUUGUUGGUGAGGUAGUGGCUCACCAAGGCGACGACGGGUAGCCGGCCUGAGAGGGCGACCAGCCAAACUGGGACUGAGAUACGGCCCAGACUCCUACGGGAGGCAGCAGUGGGGAAUAUUGCGCAAUGGGCGGAAGCCUGACGCAGCAACGCCGCGUGCGGGAUGAAGGCCUUCGGGUUGUAAACCGCUUUCAGCAGGGAAGAAGCGAAAGUGACGGUACCUGCAGAAGAAGCACCGGCUAACUACGUGCCAGCCGCCGCAGUAA